Non-coding RNA from Lolium perenne, 1639 nucleotides. NCBI's taxonomy places the organism in Eukaryota, Viridiplantae, Streptophyta, Magnoliopsida, Poales, Poaceae. The record is from RefSeq and is a predicted model, not a curated record.
ACCCUCCCUUGGGCUCCCACUCUCUCAUGCCCAUCUCUCCCUCUCCAUCCGGUGCAGCCCACCUUCGGCCCACCUCCUUUUCUUCCUCUGGCCCGAGCUGGCCACUUCUUCUUUGGCCCGUACCCCUUCGAGCGGAGAAGUUCUCGAUGCACAGCAUCGUUGUCGUCUUCCUUCCUCACGCUGGCAGCGUGAGCAACCUGGUCCUCCCCAACCACCGCACCACCACAUUUUUCCUCCUCCUUUUAAUCCCCCUUGAGGUCCCAGAAACCCUAGCCUUCCUCCCUCUUGCCGCCGCCACUCUCUUCUUUUCCUCUUGAUCUUUCCCUGUGAGAAAACGUACCAGGCAACACACCCUUGUACGACCACCAUGGCACCGCGUCCUCCUCCUCAUCUCCCCGCCAAACCAAACCGUCCCCCGCCGUUCCGAGGGCAUCGGCGGAUGCGCCUCGUCGUCCUCUUCCUCGUGGUGAAAGGAAUCGAGCCGGGAUCGCUUCAAUCGACGCCAAGCUCGCCGAUUCCCCACUCUGGCUACCACACUCCGGCGCCGAUUCCGGCCGGCCUAGUCCUUCCCCGGCAACUUAGACCUCACCAGCAUGUUCCUGGAGCUCGUCGCCGGCAACACUCCGGCCACCCCCUGGACUCUGGCACCACCACCAUCGGCCUCCCCACGUCCAGCCGCAUCCCCCACGUCAUCUUCCGCUUCCCGGUUCGCCCUGAAUCGUCGGAUUGAUUCGCAACUUCUUCCUCCGCCAUGGCUGUAAUGUUGAAGCUCGUCCCUGGCACUGCUUGUUCAAGUUUUUCCGCGCCCUUUUGUUGACACGUUCGAACUACUAACUCAGUGAUCCGGCGCCAUGGAUGGGCCUUGGCCCAGAUCUUCCGGCAGCCGUUGCCCGCGCGUCCAGGAACAACCCAUCGCCGACGCAGGCCUAGUUCCGGCCCAUGACAGCGCAGCAUUUGCUUCUUCUCGGAUAGGAUCACGAAGUGGUGUGUGAGAUACGACGAGUUCUCCGACAAGUUCUUCUGCAGCUUUUCACAGGCGAGCCCACCCCUUCACCUAUUUUACAUUUACAUGCUCUUUUGAUCUAUUGCUAUCCUUAUGUUGCGAUUCUGUUGUGUCACGUGCCCUAUCCACCUGUUACCUAUAUGUCCGAGAUACACCUCCUCGCCCUACCUAUUGUUUGUUGUUUGCCGACUUUGCGAGUCGUAGGCGAGUUUAGGGUUUUGUUGAUAUCUCGAAAUGUUCGGGAUAUCUUGUUGGGAGGUUAUCACAUGCUAUAUCAGUUGUUGGAGAUACUCAUGCUUUACUUUAUUGUUAACAACUAAAAUUGUAAGCAGAGGCAUCUGUGAGCCCCUUUGCGAAAGCAUCGGAACUUUGACUUGCUAAUGUCCCCUAGGACCCGAGUUCUUGUUAUCUGUUCCGAGAUUGAGCGCUCUACCCGUACGUGGGGGAGUGGGACCCCCAUCACCCACUACCUUUCCUCGAGUCUGUUUAUUGGGAGCCACAACCUUGGUUUUAUUUUGCUCAUAUGCAUGAUGCACGAUUUACUUCUGUUGCCUUCGGGUGUUUAUUUCUGUACUGUACUCAUAACGUGGAACGAUUAGCGACAGCAGGUUGUUCACACUUAGCUUAGCCGUUGGC